AGUUAUUAUACUGUAUUGGACCUUUUUAUUUGUAUCAUUUUUGUUUUUUCCUAUUUUUUCCUCCGAACAUUUUUGAUCUGAGAUUGGUUGAACCCAUAGAUGUGGAACCCAUGGAUACCGAAGGCUGACUGUACUGGCAAAGCUUUGUGCUCUCUCUUUGGUACUCUUUAUCCCUGGACUAAGGCUCCCUCUUGUGGUAGAAGCAUGUCUUCUCCGGGCACAGACUGAACACCUGCUUCUUUCUAAAGAGAUGACUGACUGCAGAACAAACAAGUGUCAGUGCCAGCCUCUUCUGCAUUUGACCACAGUGACCAUGGUUGCACUAAAAAAGACAAGAGAGAAAAGAAAAAAGAUCCUAUGACGUGGCUAAGGCCAUGUAAGUUUACUUUGAUCACCUAUACCAGAGUCCUCUUGCACACAGUUGAAACAUACACCUCCCCUUUUCUUCUUCGAAAACCAUGUGUUCUUCCUUCCCCUGCUGUGAUCUCAGUGGAUCUAGCUCAAAUGUGUUUAAGAAAGGUUUGUGGAGCUAGUUCAUGGUUUAUUAUUUCAAAUUAGAAAGGAACAGGGAACAUCAUACAUAAUCUAUACGUUUCUAUAAGGAGAAACCUUUUUUUUUUCCUGGUGAGGAAAAAUACGGAUCAUAUAAUUUUGCUUUGUUGCUCAAAAACAAUGUGGAAACUCCCCAGUGGUUCAGACUGGAAGAACUAUGGGAAAUGUAGCUGUUACUUUGACAGGAAUUUGCCAUCAUCCUGGGUCACCUCAGUAUCCAUGAGGACAAACCAGCUUCCAUGCCAGGCUCCCAGAUGCUUGACUGCCUGGACCACAGGACCCUUGCUUCCCCUGCACUUCAGCCACCCACUGGCAUCAUCACAAUGGGCUGUGUUAGCAAACACUGUGCAGCGCCUGUGCAGUCUCGAACCCAGACAUCGAACUUCCUGAGUCCGGAUUGGCAACCUUCCAGUUGUCUCACUCUUCACUGGCACUGCUGCUGUUUUUGGUUCUCAAGACAGGGUAUUGUCUCUUUUACUGUGUUCCUAUCAACCCUCUUCUGUCUUCACUUCUUUUCUCACCUCCUUACUCUCCACAGUGCAUGAGGCAUCCCUCCUCACUCCCUUCAGUCAUGCUCAUUAGACAGAACCCAACCGGAAUCAGUGCAGCCAUCCACCUUCUCCCCCACCUUGACCCACUGUGUGCUGGUGGAGAGAAUCACACCGUCAGUUUGCUGCUUAAAGCUCGCAAGGCUACUUCUAUUUCAGACACAGCCGAUGAUCUCACCUCCUGCAUUAGAGUGAGGAUAAACCCUCUGAGAGGAAUUCCUCAACUUCUAGGCUCCCACCUAAGAUUCCAUUCUGUCACACUAGUGUGUUAGAUCCAGUUCUUACUGGCUUGAAAGAGUUUGUUAAAUGUUCAGGAAUUUUAUGAGCCAGUUGUUAAACAUGGUUAUUACUCAAAAUUAAAUGAAGACUGGGUGCAGUG
Cercocebus atys (sooty mangabey) is the source of this 1479-nucleotide long non-coding RNA. RefSeq lists it as uncharacterized. NCBI's taxonomy places the organism in Eukaryota, Metazoa, Chordata, Mammalia, Primates, Cercopithecidae. The transcript is spliced from 2 exons. The record is from RefSeq and is a predicted model, not a curated record.